AUUGAACGCUGGCGGCAGGCCUAACACAUGCAAGUCGAACGGUAACAGGAAGCUGCUUGCUGCUUUUCUGACGAGUGGCGGACGGGUGAGUAAUGUCUGGGCAACUGCCUGAUGGAGGGGGACAACUACUGGAAACGGUUACUAAUACCGCAUAGCGUCUCAAGACCAAAGAGGGUGACCUUCCGGCCUCUUGCCAUCGUCUGUGCCCAGGUGGGAUUAUCUAGUAGGUGGGGUAACGGCCCACCUAGGCGACUAUCCCUAGCUGGUCUGAGAGGAUGACCAGCCACACUGGAACUGAGACACGGUCCAGACUCCUACGGGAGGCAGCAGUGGGGAAUAUUGGACAAUGGGCGAAAGCCUGAUGCAGCCAUGCCGCGUGUAUGAAGAAGGCCUUCGGGUUGUAAAGUACUUUCAGCGGGGAGGAAGGGAGUAAAGUUAAUACCUUGGCUCAUUGACGUUACCCGCAGAAGAAGCACCGGCUAACUCCGUG
RNAcentral lists this ribosomal RNA (490 nucleotides) under uncultured bacterium. RNAcentral's name for it is "partial 16S ribosomal RNA". It matches the Rfam family "Bacterial small subunit ribosomal RNA", at positions 30 to 507 of the family's 1533-position model. The record is from RNAcentral.